AUCUUAUGUAUGAAUAUGAAGGAACAUCUUCUUUUCCUGAAGAGAGAAAUUCUAGGAAAAACUCAAAAAAAAGAAAGCUUGCUUCCAACAACCAGCGAAAAAGCUCAGCAUGUGAGAAAUCUGGUUAUUCACAUAAAUUAUCUCGUAGUAGUAAGAGGUUUCAUGAGCCUUCUGCAGAGAACUAUGAGCUCAAGGAAACUUGGAUCCAGUGUGAUGCUUGUCACAAAUGGCGGAGGCUUGCAGAUGCCGG
This 250-nucleotide unclassified non-coding RNA is filed under the name Hevea brasiliensis (rubber tree). The record is from RNAcentral. Lineage: Eukaryota; Viridiplantae; Streptophyta; Magnoliopsida; Malpighiales; Euphorbiaceae.